Scleropages formosus (Asian bonytongue) is the source of this 1467-nucleotide long non-coding RNA. Lineage: Eukaryota; Metazoa; Chordata; Actinopteri; Osteoglossiformes; Osteoglossidae. The record is from Ensembl.
ACCUGUCAGGCAGUUACCAGCUUGAAGGUGGUGCUAACCUGAGUCCUUCCACUUGCAGUCUUGAAGAAACCAGUGACAGCAGAGGAGCUCCAGAGGCCUGGAAGCCCUUACAUAAAGAAGACCUUCACUGUAGGUUCCUGUUCCCAAAAUCAGCCCUGAGUCCCAACACACACAUCCUGCGUAAAAAAACAUUAGAUUCAGCCCCUGGUUCUCAUUUUGCAGAUUGUGGGCGACGCGGUGGGCUGGGGCUUUGUGGUGAGGGGCGACAAACCGUGUCACAUUCAGGCCGUGGACCCAAGCGGCCCGGCGGCUGCAGCAGGUUUGAAGGUUUGUCAAUUUGUCCUUUCCAUCAAUGGGAUGAACGUCCUAACUCUGGACUACAGGAAAGUCAGCAACCUCAUUCUGACUGGCCCUCGAACCAUGGUCAUGGAAGUCAUGGAGGAGUCAAGCCUCUGAGCCAAUGAGACAGAUCUGGUGCCCUGGCCAUCCAUAGUUACUGGGCUGCAUACACCCACCAAUCUCACGCUGUCAUUCAGGGAUGCUGGCCCUACAAUGUCCACUCCAGCACAGGGCAACGUAAAGGUCUUGUGUUCACCCCUAGUCUGCGUUGCGCAGGACAGGCUAAUCAGUGACAGAAAUCAAAACCUGGAGACAGUUCAUCUGAAACACUAUGGUCUAUCUUUUUAGCAGCAGUAAUGGUGGUCUUGCAAGAAGAAGCAAUGGUUACAAGUCAAUAGUACCAUCAAAGAUAAAUGGAAUCUGACAUUUGCUGUGAGUGGGCAGCAUAUUGUAGUGUUCAAACAAAAACAUUUUUAACAUUUCAGCGUUCAUAAUUCAACGUUUAUGUCUAACGAGGGACAUGGGUAGGUAAUGCUGGCAUGCAGUAUAACUCUUUAGCAGCCCUCAUUCUUCACCUGCGCCUUGGGGGAAGUGUCCUCAGUUCUUGGAGAGACGGUGAACAUGAGAGGUACAUAAAGUGACAUACAAUGACAGCACAGCUGUCCUUUUGGCCUGAAACCCUGAAUCCCUUUUUUCUACCUCUACCAUUUAAUAUAAGUACCUGGGAAGGCGGUGCCUGAAGAGUGUGGUCCCAUAGUCAACGAUUUAUUCUUUCUGCAGCGAAUGAAUGAAUGCAUAUCAGGUGUUUGAAAACAAUUAGCUCACAGCUGUAGGUUGCAGUACAUUAAGCGUCAGAAAUGGUUGUUUAAAGGUCUGAAACUAUUGUCAAGGUACAAAAUUUACAUGUAUUCAUUUAGCUGAUGCUUUUUUCCAGAAGCUAUUUACAGCAUAAAGUUACUUACCCAUUUAUACAGCUGGGUAAUUUUAGGGUAAGUACCUUGCUCAAGAGAACUAUAGCCAGAGGUUUGAUUUGAACCUGCAAGCAUCGGAUCCAAAGGCAGUAUCUCUAAGCAGUGCACUACCAGUUGCCCUUCAAUAAAACAUCAUAUUUCUCUGGAGUAAUAAACA